Molecule: small RNA, 1340 nt
Filed under: Arabidopsis thaliana (thale cress)
Lineage: Eukaryota; Viridiplantae; Streptophyta; Magnoliopsida; Brassicales; Brassicaceae
Description: ATSL208380
Rfam family: Plant small nucleolar RNA R71 (bases 568-674)
Source: RNAcentral
CAAACCCAGGUGGUGGUGGCGGCUGGUAGUUCCCCUGGAAUUGCUGCUUAGGAACGAAACCUUGAUUGUAGAGAACAAAAGGUUUGUUCUGACCUUGUUUUUGCUGUGGAAGAUACACCUGAUCCUGAGGAUUAGCAACGUUGGUGCUACGGUAGGAGAGGUUGAGGUUGUUGGUUUUUGAAGUUGUUAUACCCUUUGUAGCCACUCUGGUUGUUGUUGAUGUAGCUGACUUCUUCCAACUGGUUACCCUCCCCAUCUUGGACUUGAUACUGCUCGUCAUCAACAAGGAAGUGCACAUGCUUCUGCUGGCUAAGAAGAAUCCUGUCCAGCUUGUCAUUCAGGGCUUUGAUCUCCUUCCUGUGUUUGUCAUCAGAGUCAGCUGUUCCUCUGACGGUCCUAUCACAGUCCUCGUUGUAAUUGCCAUCUGAUUGAGCGAGGUUCUCAACCAAUUCCCAGCCUUCUUCAACAUCCUUGUUCUGGAAAUUCCCAUUGCUGGCAGUAUCCAGAAGCAUUCUGAUGCGCGGUAGGACUCCUCUGUAAAGAGUGCUGAGCAGAGAGGCUUUAGUAAAGCUAUGAUGAGGGCAUUGGUUGGUGUAACCCUUGAAACGCUCCCAUGCUUCACAGAAGCUUUCACCAGUCUUCUGUGAGAAACCAUAAAUCUCAUUUCUGAGUCUUGCAGUUCUGGCAUUGGAGAAGAACUUUGAUAGAAAAGCCUUCUUGUAAUCAUCCCACGUGGUGAUUGAGUCAUGGGACAGAUUCUUCUCCCAGAUGUGUGCUUUGUCGCCCAAGGAGAAUGGAAACAAACGGAGCUUGAAUCCGUCUUCACUGACACCAUUGAUCUUUGUCAGGUUGCAGAGCCUAUCGAAUUCAUCUAGGUGGUCGAGUGGAUCCUCCAUUGGCAGACCAUGGAAUUUGUUCCCUUGAAUCAUCGAGAUGAGACCGCUCUUAAUCUCGAAGUUGUUGUUCUGGAUAGCAGGAGGUGCAAUUCCUUUCCUCUGACGGUGAUCACGUGGUGCAUCUCCAGCACCAAUGUUGGCAGGGCCAUUUUGUUGAUUCUGUUCUUCAGCCAUUUCGAGUGGUUGCUGAGGUACAAGGUUGACUGUGUUUCUCCUUUCUCUGAGUUUGCGAGCUAUGCGGUCGAUGUUUUUGUUGAAAAGGAGGUUCUGAUUGCCUGUUGAUCGAGUUCGCAUACAGUAGAGGUGUACCUGGAUCAAGAAGACAACAAGAAAAACACACAGUUAGUAACCGAAAAGAAAAUUGAAAAAGAGCUUGAUCUAAGCAAGUCUGAAAUCUCAAAUGUAACAAACAAACACCCAAUUGGCAACGGCGCCAAAUUAAUA